This is a long non-coding RNA of Archocentrus centrarchus (flier cichlid), 655 nucleotides long. RefSeq lists it as uncharacterized. The record is from RefSeq and is a predicted model, not a curated record. The transcript has 3 exons. NCBI's taxonomy places the organism in Eukaryota, Metazoa, Chordata, Actinopteri, Cichliformes, Cichlidae.
UGGUUAUAGUUAGAGAUUUUUAAAUGAUUUUGUUUAUUUUUAUCAUUUCUUUAUUUAUGCUUUCUGUCUUUUAUUUUAUUUGUAUUUUUGUGGCAUGCCUACUUCAUUGAGCAGUGUCAGUAGACGGGAAACACAGCAGAGAGAGGGGAUGAUCUGCAGCAAAAGGCCCAAACUGGAAUCAAACCUUGGCCAGCGUGACAUGUGGUGCAUGUACUACCAGGAGGAUGUUGGUCCUGUCAGUCCUAUUUUCUGACCUGCCAGUGGUUCAGAUGGACUUAAUCAACUAUUUUGCUGUCCUACCAGUCUACCUGUCUGAUCAGAAACCAGUCUUGUCAAGGAUAAAUAGAGAGAGGAUCCUGCAAUUCCACAGCAAACACCUGAUGACUAACCGGGGUACUCAAGCGGAACUGGUGACACUACAAUUACAUACUUUUCCCAAAGAAUGUCUAAAUGCAAAACCUAUUUAUAUUUCAACAAUGUCUUUGUUUGUAAUGGGCUUUAUAUGUUAUUUUCUCUGUAAUUAACCACGGGCAGUUGGUUGUAAAAUCUUAGCCACUGGUGUUCUAUUUUUUUCUGGGUGAAGUUCUGGCAACAACAGCUGCCACUGUUUGAAUGUAAUGUUGAUUUUUACAAUUAAAUACUGUUAUGUAUCACA